Molecule: ribosomal RNA, 782 nt
Filed under: uncultured marine eukaryote
Lineage: Eukaryota
Description: SSU rRNA
Rfam family: Eukaryotic small subunit ribosomal RNA
Source: RNAcentral
GAGCUAAUACAUGCAAACAGGCUCGAACUUACGUGAGAGGCGCUUUUAUUAGAUCAAAACCAAACGUUUUCGGACGUAUUUUUGGUGACUCUGGAUAACUUUGAGCUGAUCGUAUAGCCUUGUGCUGGCGACAUAUCCUUCGAAGGUGUGCCCUAUCAACUGUCGACUGUGGCAUAGACGCCCACAGUGGUUUUGACGGGUAACGGGGAAUCAGGGUUCGAUUCCGGAGAGGGAGCCUUAAAAACGGCUACCACAUCUAAGGAAGGCAGCAGGCACGCAAAUUACCCAAUGACCGCAGGUCGAGGUAGUGACGAAAAAUAACGAUACGGGACUCAUCCGAGGCCCCGUAAUCGGAAUGAGUACACUUUAAAACCGUCCCCGAGGAUCUAUUGGAGGGCAAGUCUGGUGCCAGCAGCCGCGGUAAUUCCAGCUCCAAUAGCGUAUAUUAAAGUUGUUGUGGUUAAAAAGCUCGUAGUUGGAUCUCCACAGUCUGAAGUUGGUGUGCUUGCUAGCACUACUGCCUUAUAGACUGUAGUUUUGCCAGAGGUGUUAGGGUGCUCUUAAUCGAGUGUCCUAUCGCACUGGCAGGUUUACUUUGAAAAAAUUAGAGUGCUCAAAGCAGGCUUUAUGCUUGAAUAUUCGUGCAUGGAAUAAUAGAAUAGGAGGUCAUUUCUAUUUUGUUGGUUUUUAAGUUUUGACUUAAUGAUUAAUAGGGACAAACGGGGGCAUUUGUAUUCAGACGACAGAGGUGAAAUUCUUGGACCGUCUGAAGACAAACUACA